This 76-nucleotide transfer RNA is filed under the name Candidatus Moranbacteria bacterium RIFOXYA1_FULL_44_7. Its description in RNAcentral is "tRNA-Lys". It matches the Rfam family "tRNA". Rfam says of the family: Transfer RNA (tRNA) molecules are approximately 80 nucleotides in length. The record is from RNAcentral. Lineage: Bacteria; Candidatus Moraniibacteriota. RNAcentral also lists the same sequence under 2 other names.
GGGUCGUUAGCUCAGUUGGUAGAGCAGCAGCCUUUUAAGCUGAUGGUCGCAGGUUCGAUCCCUGCACGACCCACCC